Molecule: ribosomal RNA, 1377 nt
Filed under: uncultured bacterium
Lineage: Bacteria
Description: partial 16S ribosomal RNA
Rfam family: Bacterial small subunit ribosomal RNA
Source: RNAcentral
GAUGAACGCUGGCUUCGUGCCUAAUACAUGCAGGUCGAGCGAACGGACGAGAAUCUUGCUUCUCUGAUGUGUAGCGACGGACGGGUGACUAACACGGGGAUAACCUACCUAUACGACUGGGAUAACUUCAGGAGACCAGAGCUAAUACCGGAGAAUAUUUUGAACCGCAUGGAUCAAAAAUGAGAGACGGCCGUGCUGACACUUAUAUAUGGAUCCGCGCUGCGUUAGCUAGUUGGCCACGUAACGGCUUACCAAGGUAACGAUGCAUAGCCUGACCUGACAGGGUGAUCACGGCACACUGGAACUGACACACUGUCCAGACUCCUACGGGAGAGCAUCGGAAAGGAAUCUUCCGCAAUGGGCGAAAGCCUGACGGACCAACGCCCCGUGAGUGAAGAAGGUCUUCCGAUCGUAAAACUCUGUUAUUAUGGAAGAACCUGUGUGUAAGUCACUGUGCACAUCUUGACCGUACCUAUUCAGAAAGCCACUGCUAACUACGUGCCACCAACCUCGGGAAUACAUAGGUGGUCAGCGUUAUCCUGAAUUAUUGGGCGGAAAGCGCGCGUAUGCGGUUUUUUAAUUCUGAUGUGAAAGCCCGCGGCUCAUCCGUGAAAGGUCAUUGGAAACUGGAAAACUUGAGUGCAGAAGAGGAGAGUGGAAUUCCAUGUGUAGCGGUGAAAUGCGCAGAUAUAUGGAGGAACACCAGUGCCGAAGGCGACUUUCUGGUCUGUAACUGACGCUGAUGUGCGAAAGCGUGGGGAUCAAACAGGAUUAGAUACCCUGGUAGUCCCCGCCGUAAACGAUGAGUGCUAAGUGUUAGGGGGUUUCCGCCCCUUGCUGCUGCAGCUGACGCAUUAAGCACUCCGCCUGGGGAGUACGACCGCAAGGUUGAAACUCAAAGGAAUUGACGGGGACCCGCACAACCGGUGGAGCAUCAUGGUUUAAUUUGAAGCAACGCGAAGAGCCCUACCAAAUCUUGACAUCUUUUGACAACUCUAGAGAUAGAGCCUUCCCCUUUGGGGGACAAAGUGACAGGUGGUGCAUGGUUGUCGUCAGCUCGUGUCGUGAGAUGUUGGGUUAAGUCCCGCAACGAGCGCAACCCCUAAGGUUAGUUGCCAUCAUUAAGUUGGGCACUCUAAGCUGACUGCCGGUGACAAACCGGAGGAAGGUGGGGAUGACGUCAAAUCAUCAUGCCCCUUAUGAUUUGGGCUACACACGUGCUACAAUGGACAAUACAAAGGGCAGCGAAACCGCGAGGUCAAGCAAAUCCCAUAAACUUGUUGUCAGUUCGGAUGGUAGUCUGCAAUUGGAUUACAGGAAGCUGGAAUCGUUAGUAAUGGUAGAUCAGCAUGCUACGGUGAAUACGUUCCCGGGUCU